RNAcentral lists this long non-coding RNA (209 nucleotides) under Elaeis guineensis (African oil palm). RNAcentral's name for it is "long non-coding RNA (EGUI_LNC002440)". The record is from RNAcentral. Lineage: Eukaryota; Viridiplantae; Streptophyta; Magnoliopsida; Arecales; Arecaceae.
ACCGCCAUGGUGACUUGCAAGCAACUUACUACACUUAGGCACUGGACUAUCUGAAUUUCUAAUUCAGUGACGGAAGGCUGCUGGGUGUAGUCAAGUCUUGACUUGUCGGUGCAUGUGUUAAGAUGGGAUUGACCACUCUAGUUUAGGAGCUGUGUACUGUCAUAUUUUAAUUUAGCAAAAUCUUGGCCAGGGUAGUCCUUGUGAGGAGU